UCGCGUGCUCCGGGGUCGGUGUAAUUCCGAGCCGGCGGUGACAGUCCGCGACCCGGCCGACGAAGGUGUCGGCUGGUUGACCUGGUGGAAUUCCGGGACCGACGGUGAAAGUCCGGAUGGGAGGCGCACGCGA
RNAcentral lists this non-coding RNA (133 nucleotides) under Kribbella flavida. Its description in RNAcentral is "FMN sequence". It matches the Rfam family "FMN riboswitch aptamer (RFN element)". Rfam says of the family: The RFN element is a highly conserved domain that is found frequently in the 5'-untranslated regions of prokaryotic mRNAs that encode for flavin mononucleotide (FMN) biosynthesis and transport proteins. Lineage: Bacteria; Bacillati; Actinomycetota; Actinomycetes; Propionibacteriales; Kribbellaceae. The record is from RNAcentral. RNAcentral also lists the same sequence under 1 other name.